UACGUAGGGGGCAAGCGUUGUCCGGAUUUAUUGGGCGUAAAGAGCUCGUAGGCGGCUCAGUAAGUCGGGUGUGAAACCUCCAGGCUCAACCUGGAGACGCCACCCGAUACUGCUGUGGCUUGAGUCCGGUAGGGGAGCGUGGAAUUCCUGGUGUAGCGGUGAAAUGCGCAGAUAUCAGGAGGAACACCAGCGGCGAAGGCGGCGCUCUGGGCCGGAACUGACGCUGAGGAGCGAAAGCGUGGGUAGCAAACAGG
RNAcentral lists this ribosomal RNA (254 nucleotides) under uncultured bacterium. RNAcentral describes it as "partial 16S ribosomal RNA". It matches the Rfam family "Bacterial small subunit ribosomal RNA", at positions 524 to 776 of the family's 1533-position model. The record is from RNAcentral.